AUACGGAGGAUGCGAGCGUUAUCCGGAUUUAUUGGGUUUAAAGGGAGCGUAGGUGGGAUAUUAAGUCAGCUGUGAAAGUUUGGGGCUCAACCUUAAAAUUGCAGUUGAUACUGGUUUCCUUGAGUACGGUACAGGUGGGCGGAAUUCGUGGUGUAGCGGUGAAAUGCUUAGAUAUUACGAAGAACUCCGAUCGCGAAGGCAGCUCACCGGUCCGGAACUGACACUGAUGCUCGAAAGUGCGGGUAUCAAACAGGAUUAGAUACCCUGGUAGUCCGCACAGUAAACGAUGAAUACUCGCUGUUUGCGAUACACUGUAAGCGGCCAAGCGAAAGCGUUAAGUAUUCCACCUGGGGAGUACGCCGGCAACGGUGAAACUCAAAUGAAUUGACGGGG
RNAcentral lists this ribosomal RNA (393 nucleotides) under uncultured bacterium. RNAcentral's name for it is "partial 16S ribosomal RNA". It matches the Rfam family "Bacterial small subunit ribosomal RNA", at positions 523 to 918 of the family's 1533-position model. The record is from RNAcentral.